UAGGGAAUCUUCGGCAAUGGGGGGAACCCUGACCGAGCAACGCCGCGUGAGUGAAGAAGGUUUUCGGAUCGUAAAACUCUGUUGUUAGAGAAGAACAGCGCAUAGAGUAACUGUUAUGCGUGUGACGGUAUCUAACCAGAAAGCCACGGCUAACUACGUGCCAGCAGCCGCGGUAAUACGUAGGUGGCAAGCGUUGUCCGGAUUUAUUGGGCGUAAAGCGAGCGCAGGCGGUCAAUUAAGUCUGAUGUGAAAGCCCCCGGCUCAACCGGGGAGGGUCAUUGGAAACUGGUUGACUUGAGUGCAGAAGAGGAGAGUGGAAUUCCAUGUGUAGCGGUGAAAUGCGUAGAUAUAUGGGGGAACACCAGUGGCGAAGGCGACUCUCUGGUCUGUAACUGACGCUGAGGCUCGAAAGCGUGGGGAGCGAACAGG
Molecule: ribosomal RNA, 429 nt
Filed under: Bacteroidota bacterium
Lineage: Bacteria; Pseudomonadati; Bacteroidota
Description: Bacteroidetes bacterium partial 16S ribosomal RNA
Rfam family: Bacterial small subunit ribosomal RNA
Source: RNAcentral